Molecule: ribosomal RNA, 250 nt
Filed under: uncultured prokaryote
Description: partial 16S ribosomal RNA
Rfam family: Bacterial small subunit ribosomal RNA
Source: RNAcentral
UACGUAGGGGGCGAGCGUUAUCCGGAAUUACUGGGUGUAAAGGGUGCGUAGGCGGAACAGCAAGUCGGAAGUGAAAGGCGCGGGCUUAACCCACGAACGGCUUUCGAAACUGCUGAUCUAGAGUACAGGAGAGGAAAGCGGAAUUCCUAGUGUAGCGGUGAAAUGCGUAGAUAUUAGGAAGAACACCAGUGGCGAAGGCGGCUUUCUGGACUGAAACUGACGCUGAGGCACGAAAGCGUGGGGAGCAAAC